UUCCAUCUUACCAUUUUAAAAUAUUAGUAGUCAGCAAAAAAUCAAGAAACAGACUUAAAAUUCAAGCGUGUUUCUUCCUUUCGCCCGGAUCACUGAAACAACAGAAGCCUUCGCCAGUAUGUACCAGACCCCUACAAUUAACCAACCAUUACGCGGUUAUAAUCCUUUUCCUGCCCAUCCAGUGUACGGAGAAUUCCCCGCGGACAUUUGUUGCCCAUAUUGCCAGACUAGAGUGUUUACUGUUACCACAAAAGAGGAUGGAAAUCUAACUUACUGUGCAGCCAGUUUGCUGUGUUUUAUGGGGUGUUGGUUUGGCUGCUGCCUCAUUCCUUUUUGCAUUGACUCUUGUAAAGACAUCAUUCACACAUGUCCCAACUGCAGAGCACCUGUGGGGAAAUUCAACAGGCUUUGUUGAACCAUAGAGAAGACUGGAUCAAACCUCAAAAUAAAGAAAUGACAACUCCG
Pocillopora damicornis (cauliflower coral) is the source of this 465-nucleotide long non-coding RNA. The record is from RefSeq and is a predicted model, not a curated record. NCBI's taxonomy places the organism in Eukaryota, Metazoa, Cnidaria, Anthozoa, Scleractinia, Pocilloporidae.